This 649-nucleotide ribosomal RNA is filed under the name Henriciella marina. RNAcentral's name for it is "bacterial SSU rRNA". It matches the Rfam family "Bacterial small subunit ribosomal RNA", at positions 117 to 801 of the family's 1533-position model. Lineage: Bacteria; Pseudomonadati; Pseudomonadota; Alphaproteobacteria; Hyphomonadales; Hyphomonadaceae. The record is from RNAcentral.
GUGGGAACGUACCCUUCACUACGGAAUAGCUUCUGGAAACGGAAGGUAAUACCGUAUACGCCCUCCGGGGGAAAGAUUUAUCGGUGAAGGAUCGGCCCGCGUUAGAUUAGUUUGUUGGUGGGGUAAUGGCCUACCAAGACUACGAUCUAUAGCUGGUCUGAGAGGAUGAUCAGCCACACUGGGACUGAGACACGGCCCAGACUCCUACGGGAGGCAGCAGUGGGGAAUCUUGCACAAUGGGCGAAAGCCUGAUGCAGCCAUGCCGCGUGAAUGAUGAAGGCCUUAGGGUUGUAAAAUUCUUUCGCCAGGGAUGAUAAUGACAGUACCUGGUAAAGAAGCCCCGGCUAACUUCGUGCCAGCAGCCGCGGUAAUACGAAGGGGGCUAGCGUUGUUCGGAAUUACUGGGCGUAAAGCGCGCGUAGGCGGGCUAUUAAGCCAGAUGUGAAAGCCCGGAGCUCAACUCCGGAAUUGCAUUUGGAACUGGUAGCCUAGAGACCAGGAGAGGUUAGCGGAAUACCGAGUGUAGAGGUGAAAUUCGUAGAUAUUCGGUGGAACACCAGUGGCGAAGGCGGCUAACUGGACUGGUACUGACGCUGAGGCGCGAAAGUGUGGGGAGCAAACAGGAUUAGAUACCCUGGUAGUCCACACC